CGGAGUUGAAAAGAUAAGAUGAUAUAAUUCAUCAGAGUGAAUGACAUGAAAUUAGGCAUUAUACAUAAGAUGGUAUUUGAGUGCCCCCUUGUGGUAAAUAAAUUGCAGGAGAAUAUUGUUCCUUUGCGCUUACCGUAGGUUCACAGAGAUCGGUGUGACUGUGAAAGAGAGAGAGCUGAAUGUUAAUGCUGCACUUUCCUGCAUUACAUGUCUUUGUUUUAUCUCAGUUUUAUCUCAGACGGAGAGAAUAAAUCUGAUUGAGUGCAAUGGUGGAUGGCUUCCUUUAUUGUGUCCAAGACCUGAGUUAUUAUGGACGGGUGUGUUGCUGAUGGGACACCCGUUACACUGGUGCCGUGACUCUUUUGGAUUCUCCGAUCAGUUCAACACAGAUCGACCGUGAUUGCUGCGUGUGUCAAGUUCAUCAGCGGAUCAAGCCUUCGUUUCUUCAGACGUGAACAGUAUUUACACAUGCACACACUGUGAUUGGGACGAUACACUAUUUUUCACAACAUAUUUUAUUUUUCACACGUUUUUUUUUGAAAACACAACGCAUGGACAUAUGAAAAAUUUGUUUUUUUACUUUUAGACAAUUUUUGACUACAGUUAUAUUCAAAUAUCUUUGCAAGUAGUGCCAUAUUUAACGCUGUUGCUGUAAUUGUUUAUUUGUGGUCAGUUUUUUCUGUCUAACUGCAAUUUUGACGACGAGAUGGCUGAAAAACACAACUAUUAUAACGAUUUAGACUUAACAUAUAACAUGGGUACUCCUCGGGGUAGAGGUGCAUGGUUAAUUGACAAUUCAGAGGGUGGUGUUUUUAGUGAUGGUAUCAGCCAGAUGGUUGGACAGUCACAGUUCCAAGCUGCCCAUGGCAGGGGUUUAAAUCGAACUGUGAAUAGUACGCCAGUUGGGAGGGUUGCUUGUGAGGGUCCCUACACUUCAACACCUGGAGUGGAUGGAGUAGCCAUUG
Molecule: non-coding RNA, 965 nt
Organism: Danio rerio (zebrafish)
Lineage: Eukaryota; Metazoa; Chordata; Actinopteri; Cypriniformes; Danionidae
Source: RefSeq, a predicted model, not a curated record